Long non-coding RNA from Musca domestica (house fly), 5621 nucleotides. RefSeq lists it as uncharacterized. The transcript is spliced from 3 exons. NCBI's taxonomy places the organism in Eukaryota, Metazoa, Arthropoda, Insecta, Diptera, Muscidae. The record is from RefSeq and is a predicted model, not a curated record.
UCCAAAUCAGAUCACCAUACUGAAAAGGACAAAAGAAGUAGAAAGAGAGAGUAUUAAUAAGAUUCCAAGAAGGCAUAAUAUAGUACCAUAUGAAGAAAGAUUGGCAAAUUAUAUGAAGGUUAGAAAAAAGAUUUUUGGUGGUAAAGGAAUUCACAGUAAGGAUACAAUAAGUAGUGGUAUAAAUGAGCUAAUGCCCUUUACCAUCAUUACUGACCACGCAAGCCUGAAGUGGUUGAUGUCAUUGCGAGAUUUAAACGGUAGAUUAGCGAGAUGGGCUUUACAACUUCAGAUGUUUGAUUUUAAAAUAGAACACAAGAAGGGUUCUGAAAAUAUAGUUGCGACAACUUGUCGAGGUUAGUAGAAGAGAUACUGAUGCCUGAAGACGUGGUAGGAUUCGAUACUGUGGAGUUUGAGUCAGAAACUUAUUUAGAAAUGAUCAAAACUAUCCUCGAAAAUAAAGAAAAAUUUCCAGAUAUAAAAGUAGAACAUGGAUUUGUUUUUAAGCGUACAGCUCCACGAGCUGAUAUGGAAUUGGAAGAAUAUGAGUUUAAACUCUGGGUACCAGAAAAUUUAACAACCACUCUUAUUAAAACGGCUCAUGAACCUGAGGAUAAAUCCCAUGGGGGUAUAAAGAAGACAUUAGGUCACCUACGACUAAAAUACUACUGGCCUAACAUGGCAAUACACGUCCGGAAUUUUGUAAAGAACUGCAAUAUUUGUCGGAAAUGCAAAAGUUCGAAUAAACAUAUGAUGCCCCAAAUAGGAAAUGAAGUUCAGACUGACCGACCGUUCCAGAAGCUGUACGUGGACUUUCUGGGAAAGUAUCCUCGGUCCCGUAAAGGAAACGCAUAUGUCUUAGUGGUGGUUGACCAUCUAACAAAAUUUGUUUUUCUAAAACCGAUGAAAGAAGCUACCAGCAAGAAUGUAAUAUCCUUUUUAAUUGAAAAUGUGUUUCAACAGUUUGGUGUGCCGGAAGUCAUACAUACAGACAAUGGUAAACAAUUUGUAUCCAAGGAUUUUGAAAAACUAAUGGAGGGAUUUAAAAUAGCCCAUUUGAAAACAGCAUUUUACUCGCCUCAAUCAAAUGCGGCGGAAAGAGUAAACCAAAGCGUGUUAAAUGCUAUACGCUCUUACUUAGAUAAUGACCACACCAAUUGGGACUUAAACCUUGCUAAAAUCGAAUUGGCUUUAAGAACCUCUGUUCACUCAGCGACGGCGUGACACCAUUUUUUGCUCUUUUUGGGCAUAACAUGUUCACCUGUGGCAGAGAUUACAAACUUGCAAGAAAAUUAAAAGCUCUAAGCGAUGGGGAGUUACUAAUUCUGGAUAAAGACGAUAGAGUUAGUAUAAUUAGGGUCAUUAUUAAACAAAAUUUACACAAUGCGUAUGAAAGAAGUGCACUACGGUAUAAUAGAAAGGCCAGAAUAGUACGGUUUCGUCCGGGUCAGGAGGUAUUUAAAAGAAAUUGAGCAAGUUUCAGGAUAACAGAAAUGCCAAAUUCUGUAGAAAAUUUACCAAAUGUCGAGUCGCAGAAGUUCUAGGGAAUAAUAUGUAUCGGCUGGAAUCAUUAAAAGGGGAUCCUCUUGGCGUCUAUCACGCUAAAGACAUUAAGCAAUAAAUAAUGAAAGACAAAUAAACAGAAGAUUACUCUAAUGGCAAUAUUUCUGUACGUGCAAUAUUAGAUUAAGUUGUGUUUCGGUCUUUAAUUAUUUAUUUAAAAUUAUUAUUUUUCUAAAUGUACAGUGUUUAAUGUUCCCUCUGUGAUAGCAUAUACAUAUUUAUACUCAAGAACAACUAUGAUAUUUUAUUAGGAUAAAUCCGUUUAGUCGUAAGAUAAAAUUCCCUUCUUAAGUAUUUUGUUUUAAUGCCCGGCUAACUCCUGCUAAAAGCUUUACAGUCUUUUCCAAGGUUCAGUAUAGUGUGAGGGAGAAAUAAAAAUGUGGGUGUAGCCUACGUUGGGCGCAUCGAACCAGAAAGGCCAUUAAUGAAGUUGCAAUGAAGUUUCCUAGUCGGGAAAAGUAAUGGCUAUCUUGUGCUUAUGGAUUGCAUAAGUACUUGUUAGCGAUUAUUUUUCUCUAAUAUUCUGCAGAUAGUUUUAAUAUUAAUGAUUAGUAUGAAACAAGGGCAUUGUUUUGGUCCUUGUUUCUUAAUCUGUAGGUUAACUUAACAUUAAGAAAAUUGUAACCUCAUGGGUGAAGCUCUCCAGGGUAAUCGAAUGUAGGAGCAAAUUAAAAGAUGACAAUAAGUCCAGUAAUACUUUAGUGUAUGAAACAAUUCAGGAAACUUUGCGAAUAUCGCUUUGCGAAUAUCGUUUGAUUUAAGGAAAUUGUAAUAUUGUUAUAAACUAAUGACAGUGCAAUUUAAUUUAGUGUAGUGUAGAGUAUAUAAAAGGACUAGGAAACAAAUAUUGUAAGGAAUUUAAGGAAAUAAUGACCAAUAGGUGGACAUUCCUUAUGACCCUCAUACUGUGGUUUCGUCAGUUUCCUUGGAAACCCCAGAGUUUUGUUGAGGGUAACAGUGAGAUAGUAAACGACAGCUGGAAUUAAGGAAAAGGGACGGGUAGGAGAUUGGGGGACAACAUUCCGAUUUUCUCGGCAUAAGCAACAGACAAGCUAGACAGUAUAUAUGUUUCAGUUAAGCAGAGUCGACUGUAACGCUGGUUAACAUAAUUGGGUACCUUAGCCCAAUCCGAAUAUUUUAAAUACCUGAAGGUGACGGAUACCAUCCAGGCUUAUGGUAGAAGGGCAGGAGUCCAAAUUGUGUGCAGCACCUGGUUUUCAAGCCGUAUCUCCUGGUACGCAUCACAUGAUGCAAUUUUCAUGAGGGUGGGAAGAUGUGUGCUCAGCCGGUGCUUUGAACGCGAGCAAAAUUGAAUUGCUGGUUUGGGGUUUCUUUUUUUCUGCCCACAAUAUUUUUACUUCGCCUUAGAAUGCGAGCAGAAUAUAUUUGCUUGUUGGGGUUUUUUUUUUCUGCCCGCGAUAUUUUUUUAUUUUUAUAUUUGUCCGUAUUAAUUUUAUUGCAGUCACCAGUACCAAGUGGUGGUAUGAAAACAGCGUGUUUUCGAAGUCGAGUGGCUUGAACGCGUAAAUCAGCAUGUUGACUAUGCAAAACAUGAUGAGAGCCAUCUGGAAAAAAAGACAAAACUAACUUUUCGUUGUCUAUAUCUUCAUUUGUUUAUGUAAAUACACACCAAGUUCCACUUGGCGUCCACCGGCUGAGAGUGGUGAUAGAGUCCACCGACUGAGAGCAUAGACAAAUGAAGAUAUAGACAACGAAAAGUUAGUUUUGUCUUUUUUUCCAGAUGGCUCUCAUCAUUUUUGCAUAGUCAACAUGCCGAUUUACGCGUUCAAGCCACUCGACUUCGAAAACACAUUUUAUCGUUUUUCAAGAAUUUCACUGGAAUAUUCCCAUAUUUUUCGAUGUCAUCACGUACUUUUCACAUUUCUUUUAUUAUGAAAUAAUUUUCAACUGACAAAUAUCCUACAGUUUUUGUUAUUUUUAACAUUUUUGAAUUGAGUGACUUCAAAAUUCCCACUCAAACCCCUGUAACGAUAUGGACGACAUCUGCUUAUCCGAUUUUUUCGAAGAUAAACGGUGAGAGCAUUUCGUUGUCUAUAUUUUCAUUUGUCUAUGCUGAGAGUUUUGGAAGAGUGGAUCCAAAAAAAAAAAAAAAAACAGCUAAGUGAUAGCAUAUUUUAAGGAGUUGCUCGAUAUCGGCGAGUUUAUAUUUUGUUGUGCGUCUGUGUGUGUCCUAGUUAGCUUUCUGUUACUUUUAAGAUUUUAUAUAUAUUUUUUUUUGUUUGCUUAUUUUAAUUUUAAUAAUAUAUUUUGUAACUAAAUGAAUUGCAUUAGGGAUCUACUCUUAGACAAGGCAAGUUAGUCCAUUAGAAAUAAUUACUAGGAGGAGCUCUAACUGGUGAGGAAUUUCUAAAGUAGGACAUAACAAAAUUAAGGUUAGACCCAGGCAAAUUUUCAAAUUCAUUUUUUUUAUUAUUUUCCAAUGUGUUAAAAAAAGGCAAUGCAUUAUUAUACAGUAAAUUUAAUUUCAUAAUUUUAAAGUUUUUUUUUAUUAUUAAAUAUUUGUAGUUAAAUCUGAAAAGAAAAAGAAAACAAAUUUCAUGAUAGAAAAUUAAUAUUAUUUAAAUUAGUAUGUCUAAGCAUUUUAAUAUGUAAUAAAUGUAAGAUUAGUAUUGAAAAUGAUGUGUUAGUUUGUCUUGAAGGAAGGGGAAAAGGGAUAAGGAUGGAUAUGUAGCGGCAAAGGAAUAGAUGUCGUUGGUGCUGAAAAAAGGGGUUCUGAGGAACAUUAGGUUGGGUGGGUGAUGAAGGGGGCUCGUAUUCUAGACCCCCGAAAAUGUUGGUUAUUGGUUCAAAUUGUUUUAGUAUGUUUAGUCCAUUUUGUUGCAGUUUUUCGUUUACUUGUUAUGCCCUCAAGUGUCUUAGUGUUGCUGAACCACGACCCAUUUACAAAUUAGCCGGGACCGACACGUUUUGAAGGAGGAAACAUAACAAUUAAUAAAAAUGGCUCAAUUCGAAAAAAGGUGAGUAAACAUACUAAUAUAACCAAGAAUAAUGUUUUAUAGUUUUAGGUAUCCGUAAAACUCCCAACAAAUGGAGUAUAAUAAGUGAACGAGCUUUGUUGGAAGUGUGGGGUUUAUUUAUGAGUCAGCUACGUGGAUGUCGAAAAAAUAGCCACAUUCUUCAAGAAAUGGCGUCCGAACUUGGGAAACAUGGGUUUUCGUAUACAUCACACCAAAUAAAAACCAAGAUGCACAACAUGGCUGCGAGACUUAGGAAGGAAAAGCGUCUAGUUGGUACAACCGGAGGUCCACCAUCAGAUUGGGAGCUAUAUAAAGAAAUGGAAAUGUUGCUAGCACCUUGCAAGACCUAUAAUACUGAGUUGCUUGUUUUGGACAGUGUCAAUGAUAUUGAUGCCAUAUUGACAUGUGAAAUGUCCAACAUUGAAAACUCCCCACCCUCACCAAUCAUUCCUAGUUCCUCUUCACAAUUAAAUAUAAUGCUAGGAACACAAUUGGAGCGAACGACGAAUUUCGCCCUACGCGGCGACAAAAUGAGCCGCGAAAAUUCGUCGUAUGGAACACAAUACCGACGAAAUUAUAAAACAGCUGAUGAAGUUGUUUACUUUUUGCUCAUUUGUUGACUACAAUGAAUUAUACAAGAACACAUAAUUCUUUACGUUCUCUAUUAUAAUUUCACUUAUGUCCAUCUUCUCUAUUAUAAAUUCACUGAUAUCCAUCUUCACUCAGGCGCAAGUACACAAAUAAAUAAACAAAUUAAUUAUGUUUUUUUUAUACGAGUAACAGAUAGUAGAGUGACCAUAACAAAUUUUAAAGUAAAAAGUAACUUUAUUUACUAAAACACAUAAAAUUCGUACAAGUAUGGCCACCUUGUACUGUUUUGUUCGCCGGUCGCCGGCGUAUGAAAUAGAAAUAAAGCUAAUUGAGUUCGCGGCGACCGACGAAAUUUUCGCCGGUGCCGUGAUUGUGUGCACUUCCAUAUACACAUAUAUGUUUUAUUUUUGACGACGAACAUACGCCGCGAAAAAAUUCGUCGUUCGCUCCAAUUGUGUUCCUAGCAUAACUGAGCUAUCGUCAGAAUUGUCA